GACGAACGCUGGCGGCGUGCUUAACACAUGCAAGUCGAACGGAAAGGCCCUGCUUGCAGGGUGCUCGAGUGGCGAACGGGUGAGUAACACGUGGGUGAUCUGCCCCUUACUUUGGGAUAAGCCUGGGAAACUGGGUCUAAUACUGGAUAGGACCAUGCUGUAGGUGGUGUGGUGGAAAGAUUAGUUUCGGUAAGGGAUGAGCUCGCGGCCUAUCAGCUUGUUGGUGGGGUAAUGGCCUACCAAGGCGUCGGCGGGUAGCCGGCCUGAGGGGGUGGACGGCCACGGGGGGAGUGAGAUGCCGCCCAGCCUCCUGGGGGGGGCAGGAGGGGGAAAUAGCGCAAAAGGGGCGGAAGCCUGAUGCAGCACCGCCGGGUGGGGGAUGGCGGCCUGGGUGUUAAACACCGUUCACGCAUGAGAAGACCCGUGAGGUACGGGUAUGGGUAAAGAAAGACCCGGUAAAUAACGG
This 466-nucleotide ribosomal RNA is filed under the name uncultured bacterium. RNAcentral describes it as "partial 16S ribosomal RNA". It matches the Rfam family "Bacterial small subunit ribosomal RNA", at positions 28 to 506 of the family's 1533-position model. The record is from RNAcentral.